RNAcentral lists this ribosomal RNA (827 nucleotides) under uncultured bacterium. Its description in RNAcentral is "bacterial SSU rRNA". It matches the Rfam family "Bacterial small subunit ribosomal RNA", at positions 61 to 873 of the family's 1533-position model. The record is from RNAcentral.
GUCGAACGGCAGCACAGAGGAGCUUGCUCCUUGGGUGGCGAGUGGCGGACGGCUGUGGAAACAUCGGAAUCUACUUUUUCGUGGGGGAUAACGUAGGGAAACUUACGCUAAUACCGCAUACGACCUACGGGUGAAAGCAGGGCAGACCUUCGGGCCUUGCGCGAUUGAAUGAGCCGAUGUCGGAUUAGCUAGUUGGCGGGGUAAAGGCCCACCAAGGCGACGAUCCGUAGCUGGUCUGAGAGGAUGAUCAGCCACACUGGAACUGAGACACGGUCCAGACUCCUACGGGAGGCAGCAGUGGGGAAUAUUGGACAAUGGGCGCAAGCCUGAUCCAGCCAUACCGCGUGGGUGAAGAAGGCCUUCGGGUUGUAAAGCCCAUUUGUUGGGAAAGAAAUCCAGCCGGCUAAUACCUGGUUGGGAUGACGGUACCCAAAGAAUAAGCACCGGCUAACUUCGUGCCAGCAGCCGCGGUAAUACGAAGGGUGCAAGCGUUACUCGGAAUUACUGGGCGUAAAGCGUGCGUAGGUGGUUGUUUAAGUCUGUUGUGAAAGCCCUGGGCUCAACCUGGGAACUGCAGUGGAAACUGGACAACUAGAGUGUCAGGUAGAAGGUAGCGGAAUUCCCGGUGUAGCAGUGAAAUGCGUAGAGAUCGGGAGGAACAUCCAUGGCGAAAGCAGCUACCUGGACCAACACUGACACUGAAGCACGAAAGCGUGGGGAGGCAACAAGAUUAGAUACCCCGGUAGUCCACGCCCUAACCAAGGCGAAUGGAUGUUGGGUGGCAUUUGGGACCCCAAUAUCGAAACUAACGCGGUUAGUUCCCCCCC